RNAcentral lists this RNase P RNA (353 nucleotides) under Silvanigrella aquatica. Its description in RNAcentral is "Bacterial RNase P class A". It matches the Rfam family "Bacterial RNase P class A". From Rfam's summary of the family: Ribonuclease P (RNase P) is a ubiquitous endoribonuclease, found in archaea, bacteria and eukarya as well as chloroplasts and mitochondria. Its best characterised activity is the generation of mature 5'-ends of tRNAs by cleaving the 5'-leader elements of precursor-tRNAs. Lineage: Bacteria; Pseudomonadati; Bdellovibrionota; Oligoflexia; Silvanigrellales; Silvanigrellaceae. The record is from Rfam by way of RNAcentral.
UCGGGUAAUUCAACUACAGCGCGACCUACUUUUGGUAGGAGUGAGGAAAGUCCGGACUUCAUAGAGCAGGAUGCUGGUUAACGACCAGGCGGGGCGACCCGACGGAAAGUGCAACAGAGAACACACAGCCGAAGCCGCAAGGCUGGCAAUGGUGAAAACGUGAGGUAAGAGCUCACGGACUUGGCUGGUGACAGUCAGUCUGGCAAACCCCAUCCGAAGCAAAGCCAAAUAGGGGUGGAGAGCUGGCUCGGCUCGUUUUACACUCGGGUUGGCUGCAAAGAAUGUUGCGGCAACGUAACGUCAAGAGAAAUUGUAGUUUUAAACAGAAUCCGGCUUAUGGAUUGCCCGUAAUU